GCCAGCAGCCAUAUCACCCUGCAACUCACAACUGGCAACCCACAGAAGCUAAGUAGGUGUGAGCCUGGUCAGUACCUGGAUGGGAGACCUCCUGGGAAAAACUAAGGUUGCUGCUUGAA
Molecule: ribosomal RNA, 119 nt
Filed under: Lepisosteus oculatus (spotted gar)
Lineage: Eukaryota; Metazoa; Chordata; Actinopteri; Semionotiformes; Lepisosteidae
Source: RNAcentral